AGCAGCCGCGGUAAUUCCAGCUCCAAUAGCGUAUAUUAAAGUUGUUGCAGUUAAAAAGCUCGUAGUUGAAUUUCGGGAUUUGUCGGUUGGUCGGGCUUCACUGUCCGCACUGGCCUGACGGAUUCCUACCUUCUGAAUAACCAGCAUGCUAUUAACUUAGUGCGUUGGGGAAGCAGAGCUAUUACCUUGAAAAAAUUAGAGUGCUUAAAGCAGGCUUGUGCUUGAAUAGAUUAGCAUGGAAUAAUAAAAUAGGACGGCAUGGUUCUAUUUUGUUGGUUUCUAGGAUCACCGUAAUGAUUAAUAGGGAUAGUUGGGGGCAUUAGUAUUCAAUUGUCAGAGGUGAAAUUCUUGGAUUUAUUGAAGACUAACUUCUGCGAAAGCAUUUGCCAAGGAUGUUUUCAUUAAUCAAGAACGAAAGUUAGGGGAUCGAAGACGAUCAGAUACCGUCGUAGUCUUAACCAUAAACUAUGCCGACUAGGGAUCGGACGAUGUUAAUUUUUUAAUGACUCG
RNAcentral lists this ribosomal RNA (510 nucleotides) under uncultured Acaulospora. Its description in RNAcentral is "SSU rRNA". It matches the Rfam family "Eukaryotic small subunit ribosomal RNA", at positions 569 to 1078 of the family's 1831-position model. The record is from RNAcentral. Lineage: Eukaryota; Fungi; Glomeromycota; Glomeromycetes; Diversisporales; Acaulosporaceae.